UCUGCCAAUGAAACAUCCCGCGCCCUGCGGCCCGCGUCCACCCAAUACAUCGCUUCCCUUACCUAAAAAAAUUCCCUUCCCGAAGGAAAAUACAAUCCGAACGUGGAGGACCCAUGGUUAGCGAUGGAAGUUAGGGUUAGGGCGCUGCCACACUGGCCCAUACCUUCAUCCGCCAUCCGUCCUGCUCCCCCUCCCACCAUCGCUUUGCCGCCGCCCCCAUGUUCUACCCGAUGCGCCGGCACGACGCGCCCGGCAGGCCGGUCUUGCCUUGCCGUCCACCCACACAUCUCCUCCCUCGGAUUCUGGCGAGCUGCGGCGGCAACCACGGUGAACUGCCAUGGGUGCGGCCAAUCCGAGCUCCAGUUCAGGCAGGUCAACCAUGUCUCCACGAUGGCGCGGGCUAACCUGGUGGUGCCGGACGCUGCUAGUCUCGGUCGUGGCGUGAUUGUGUGGAUGACGCUCAGCAUGUCCCUGUAAGCGCCGGCUACUGCUGCUCUCCGCCCCCAUACCCCAACCAAUCACGGUUAGUGCUAAUGGAGAAGAACCUGUUGUUCCUGGAGGCAUGGCAGGCACUCCACCAUGCUACCACCAUUAGUCUCAUCCGUGACGAGCUGGUGAACACGUGAGACAUGACAUGUCUGAUUCCAGUUGUGCAAAGUCUGCUUAUGCUGCAACCUUGGUCUAUCCUUCACUCGAUUCUUGAAACUGUUUGCGUUUUCUGAAACUUCCUACAUUAGGAGACACUUGCCCCAGAUCCAAUUCGUCGAUGGAGUUAGAACAAUUCCGUACAACAGAGUCUUAGGUCUCUGCCAAUUAUUGUUUGUCUUUUGAGGUGAAUGUAGCUGCUGGUCAUGCUUUAACCACACGUCAAUUGCAGGAGUGCGACAGCGCCAUCCUGUUCCACAAACCAUGUGAAGAAU
Non-coding RNA from Aegilops tauschii subsp. strangulata, 920 nucleotides. The record is from RefSeq and is a predicted model, not a curated record. Lineage: Eukaryota; Viridiplantae; Streptophyta; Magnoliopsida; Poales; Poaceae.